UACGUAGGGUGCGAGCGUUGUCCGGAAUUAUUGGGCGUAAAGGGCUCGUAGGCGGUUUGUCGCGUCGGGAGUGAAAACCAGGUGCUUAACACCUGGCUUGCUUUCGAUACGGGCAGACUAGAGGUAUGCAGGGGAGAACGGAAUUCCUGGUGUAGCGGUGAAAUGCGCAGAUAUCAGGAGGAACACCGGUGGCGAAGGCGGGUCUCUGGGCAUGUCCUGACGCUGAGGAGCGAAAGUGUGGGGAGCAAACAGG
This 253-nucleotide ribosomal RNA is filed under the name uncultured bacterium. RNAcentral describes it as "partial 16S ribosomal RNA". It matches the Rfam family "Bacterial small subunit ribosomal RNA", at positions 524 to 776 of the family's 1533-position model. The record is from RNAcentral.